RNAcentral lists this ribosomal RNA (296 nucleotides) under uncultured bacterium. Its description in RNAcentral is "partial 16S ribosomal RNA". It matches the Rfam family "Bacterial small subunit ribosomal RNA", at positions 333 to 646 of the family's 1533-position model. The record is from RNAcentral.
GUAAUCCUACGGGGCGCAGCAGUGGGGAAUAUUGCACAAUGGGGGAAACCCUGAUGCAGCGACGCCGCGUGGGUGAAGAAGUACUUCGGUACGUAAAGCCCUAUCAGCAGGGAAGAAAAUGACGGUACCUGACUAAGAAGCCCCGGCUAACUACGUGCCAGCAGCCGCGGUAAUACGUAGGGGGCAAGCGUUAUCCGGAUUUACUGGGUGUAAAGGGAGCGUAGACGGCAGUGCAAGUCUGAAGUGAAAGGCGGGGGCCCAACCCCCGGACUGCUUUGGAAACUGGGCUGCUGGAG